GGGGGUGACAUGGCUUCGACGGGGUGAGCGCAGUCACAAGUUGCAUGCCGAGUUUCCGUCGCGGAUUCUCGUAAAAAAAUCGGUGGCACUUUAAAUGUAAAUGCUGACAAUACUCAGUAUCGAAUGGCUGCCUAACAGCGCCAUUCCGUCCUCCUGGCGGUUUUCUUGCCAACUGCCUCUGAGGGCGCCAAAUCAAGGCAAGAUAGGGUAACGUCCCGGUCGGUGGCGUUAUCCGAAACCUGACCCGGCCUGGCCUGAAGACAGCCUCGUUGCCCGGCGACCCUUCAGGUGAGAUGAUAUAGGGCAACUAAGCAUGUAGAAGCUUGAUGGUUCGUCAUCUCGGACCCGGGUUCAAUUCCCGGCACCUCCACUU
This 373-nucleotide transfer-messenger RNA is filed under the name Natronogracilivirga saccharolytica. RNAcentral describes it as "Natronogracilivirgula saccharolytica Standard tmRNA". It matches the Rfam family "transfer-messenger RNA". Rfam says of the family: Bacterial tmRNA, also known as 10Sa RNA or SsrA, is named for its dual tRNA and mRNA-like properties. Its role is to liberate the mRNA from a stalled ribosome. Lineage: Bacteria; Pseudomonadati; Balneolota; Balneolia; Balneolales; Cyclonatronaceae. The record is from Rfam by way of RNAcentral.